RNAcentral lists this long non-coding RNA (681 nucleotides) under Hordeum vulgare. Its description in RNAcentral is "long non-coding RNA (HVUL_LNC007371)". The record is from RNAcentral. Lineage: Eukaryota; Viridiplantae; Streptophyta; Magnoliopsida; Poales; Poaceae.
AGACUGGGAUUUGCCACUUCGUGUGACAGAGAGGUAUCUCGGGGCCCACUCGGUAAUACAACAUCACAAACAAGCCUUGCAAGCAAUGUGACUAAAGAGUUAGCCACCGGAUCUUGUAUUACGGAAUGAGUAAAGAGACUUGCCAGCAACGAGAUUGAAAUAGGUAUGGUGAUAUCGACGAUCGAAUCUCACGCAAGUAACAUACCGAAGGACAAAGGGAAUGAUAUACGGGAUUGUGUGAAUUCUUGACAUAGAGGUUCAACUGACAAGAUCUUCAUAGAAUAUGUAGGAUCCAAUAUGGACGUCCAGGUCCCGCUAUUGGAUAUUGGCCAAAGAGUGUCUUGGUCAUGUCUACAUAGUUCUCGAACCCGCAGGGUCUGCACACUUAAGGUUCGGUGACGUUUUCAGUAUAGUUGAAUUAUUGAUGUUGGUAACCGAAUGUUGAUCGAAGUCCCGGAUGAGAUGCCGAACGUCAGGAAUGUCUCUGGAAUGGUAUGGAAACAAAGAUUGAUAUAUAGGAUUGUUGCAUUUUCCUUCCGGAAAGAUUUUGGGUACCAGAAAGAUUUUGGGCAUUACCAGUAAAGUACUCGGAGUGACGAAUGGGAUCCGGGUUUUACCGGGAGGGGCCACCUACCCCGGAGAGGACUUAAUAGGCCCAUGGGUCAUGCACCAGCCCCUAGU